GAUGAACGCUGGCGGCGUGCCUAAUACAUGCAAGUCGAGCGAACAGACGAGGAGCUUGCUCCUCUGACGUUAGCGGCGGACGGGUGAGUAACACGUGGAUAACCUACCUAUAAGACUGGGAUAACUUCGGGAAACCGGAGCUAAUACCGGAUAAUAUAUUGAACCGCAUGGUUCAAUAGUGAAAGACGGUUUUGCUGUCACUUAUAGAUGGAUCCGCGCCGCAUUAGCUAGUUGGUAAGGUAACGGCUUACCAAGGCAACGAUGCGUAGCCGACCUGAGAGGGUGAUCGGCCACACUGGAACUGAGACACGGUCCAGACUCCUACGGUAGGCACCAGUAGGGAAUCUUCCGCAGUGGGCGAAAGCUUGACGGAGCAACGCCGCGUGAGUGAUGAAGGUCUUCGGAUCGUAAAACUCUGUUAUUAGGGAAGAACAAAUGUGUAAGUAACUAUGCACGUCUUGACGGUACCUAAUCAGAAAGCCACGGCUAACUACGUG
Molecule: ribosomal RNA, 497 nt
Filed under: uncultured bacterium
Lineage: Bacteria
Description: partial 16S ribosomal RNA
Rfam family: Bacterial small subunit ribosomal RNA
Source: RNAcentral